CUUCCCCCCAAAAAGUUAAUUUUCCACAAAAAGUAAACAAACAAGAAACCAGGUGAGAAAAAAUAAGUACAGUGUGACUAUCUCUACAAAAGUACAACUUUUGGCAGUUUGGUGUUCUGGAGCACUCAGGUGUGUGUACAGCAAGAAGCAAGGACAUUAGCCAUGACCUCAGAGAAGCAAUUGUUGUUGGUCAUUUAUCUGACAAGGGCUAUAAGGCCAUCUCCAAGCAAUUUGAAAUUCACCAUUCUACAGUGAUUAAGAUUGUUUACAAAUGGAGAGCCUUCAAGACAGUUGCCAAUCUUCCUAGGAGUGGGCGUUCCAGCAAAUUCAGUCCAAGUCAGAGCAUUUAGUGCUCAGAGAUGCAAAAAAACCCCAACAAGAUUCAUCAUGUGACCUUCAGGCCUCUGUAAGCACAUUAAUUGUUUAUGUUCAUUACAGCACAAUCAGUAUAUUGGCUUCCAUGGAAGAGUGGCUAGGAAAAUGCCCCUUCUCUCCAAAAAUAAUAUGGCAGCAUGAUUUAGGUUUGCAAAAUUGCAUCUGAAGAAACCACAAAAGUUCUGGAACAAUAUCCUUUGUACUAAUGGACCAAGGUGGAGAUGUUUGGUCAUCAUGCACAGUGCCAUGUUUGACGGACACCAAACACAGCGUAUCACCAUAAACACCUCAUACCAACUGUCAAGCAUGGUGGUGGAGGAAUGAUGAUUUCAGCUUGUUUUGCAGUCACAGAACCUGAGAAACUUGCAGUCAUUGAGACAUCGAUGAACUCCACUUUAUACCAGAAUAUUCUUAAGUCAAAUGUGUUGCCCUUUGUCCAGCAGCAUAAACUGGGCUGAAAUUGGGUCAUGCGCCUGGACAAUGAUCACAAAUACACCAGCAGAUCAAAAACUAAUGGCUAAAGAAGACAAAAAAAGUCCAGACCUCAACCCCACUGAGAUGCUGUGGCAGGAUCUUCAGAGAGCUGUACAUCAAUGAAUGUCCUCAAACAUCAAUGAACUGAAGCACUGUUGUAAAGAAGAGUGGGUCAACAUUUCUCCAAAAUUAUGUGAGAGACCGGUAAACUCCUACAGAAAACUUUUACUUUAGGUUAUUGUUUCUAAAUGUGGUUACUGAAAUAUAGGGUGUACUUAUUUUUCCCCACCUGGUUUCUGAAUGUUGGUUUACUUUUUGGAAAAAAAUAUUACUACAAAUCGGUUGUGUGUUUUAUUAAAUUGUCACCUGAGGUUAUUUGUUUACAGAAGUUGGUGGGGACCACACAAUUGUUAUUUCCACCAUGAUAAUGUAUAAUAAUGUAAUGUAUAACUUACGUAAUAUUUUGCAGUUGAUGAGGGAAUUUAUUUUUGUUUUUAUUCCUUAUUCAAACCUUGGCUGAUGUGGUUGUUUUUAUAGAAGCUAAUUUUUUUUCAUCUCACUGUUGGAAAGCUUAGUUACAACAUUUCUUUCAUUGCCCCCCUCUUUUCCAAUUUCACUGCUGGAAUAGAGGACCUUGAAAAUAAUGCAUCAGACAUGCCAAAGGAAAGCUUUGAUACACCGACUUGUAUUCCAAGACUGCUCUUUUAUUGAGCAUCAGAAGAUAUUUACUGUGUUGUAACGAGAGGCUCUGUGCGCUUCUAUUGCUCAGUUCCAUGUGGAGACUUUCUUUGUCUCUGAAGAAAAAGCCUGAAACAAUGUUUAUACACACAGAGUCCGGACAGUAUUCUUCCAAUCCGUUGUACAAAUGCAUUUUUCCCUUUUCCUUGGCUUCACUGAGCUGACAGAACACACGGCCUGUGACCUGUCAGUGAAACCUUUCCUCAGAAGAGACCCAACUUCACUCAGCUGAAAGGGGAUGAGGUGGCCUCCGAGUUCAGGCUUUAAUUUCAAAAAGGCUUUGCUCAUACACAGGGUAGCUUAGAGUAGGAACAACAGAAAAAAAAGAGGAAGAAACAAUAAAAUGGAAGAUGUCAUUGUUGCUUGAGAGCACAGGUUGAAGUGAAAUACAUGCUGGAUUUUUAUGGUCACUCUGGUCAGAAAAAGGUUGCAGUAGACCUCAUAGCAGUUCCUUUCCCAGUUCUAUUAUAGCAGAAAUCACACAGCACAGACGUUUAGUGCAGAAGGUGUAUGACCAUGUAACAUUUGUAAAAAAAUACAGUAUGCGUUAAAUUAUUGUAGAAGGUAUGUUGUGUCUAAUAUCCACUGAUGGCUGGUUAUGAUAUUGUAUAGCAUGCAAAAAAGAUUUAAAAAAAAAAGUAAUGUAGAAUGAUAUUCUGUACACUAUUUCAUCAGUUUUCGCUUUUCAUGAGGUUAUUGCAGAAAUAUUCGAUUUUUAUCACGAAUUUUUAUCACGAACAUGUUCAUGGCACAUGUCCCAGCGCUACAUGUACUGCAACUUGUGUUAUUUUUGAUUUGUUUUCUCUCCACGCGCUUUAGUUUAUGCAUCAGUCUCCGCCCCGUCAUUGGUGUGUAACCCAACUGUGUCCACCUGUUCCGUGUUAGCUCACUGAUGAGUUAUUAAUUAGUAAUUAUUAUGACUCACAAUUAUAUAUAAAGAAGCUGUGGUGCUAGGCAAGACAAGCAAAGAGCGCACUGUCCAAUAAAUUAUGCGAUUUGUUUUUUCUUUGUUUUUUUCUUCAGGACCCCUGAAGCAUUCACUGACUCCUAGUGGAGUCGGGUGUCUGGGGUUAGACCCAAAACAAAGUAACAACACAAGCCGAGACUAAGGUUAAUACAUGUGUAUUUAGGUUACUGCCAUAUUCACAGUAGUACCAUUAUAGUUGCAUGUGGAGGCUGUCUGUAACUAAAAAAAAGUGUAAAGGAUGUUUAACCCCUUAAUUCAAGAUUAUUAUUCAUUUAUUCAUCCUAAGGCAUAUUACUCAGAAACUCCUAAAAAUGAUUCAGUAACAACAGAUAAACUAAUAGGAAAGUUCGAAAUGUAAAUGUGGACCCACCAAUAAUUUAAAGGAUUAAUAUAAAGUGGGACCAAGAAAAAGUUUCACUGUUGCCAUAUCUUACUAAUACAUACAGUACAUGCAAAUAUACAAAUUAAGUCCAGUCACUCACAGUACUUACAAGCUACAAAUCUUUUAUUGGCACAUGAAGAAAGAAGCCACUUUAUAAGGUGAUAAACACCCUUUAUGCAUACCAUUUACGUAUUCAGCGCUGUUGCUGGGGGAAGCUAGCACUGAGGAAAAUGCUGAACAGAUUCCCCUCUAAUAAAAUGCCAGGAAUUUUCAUUCUGGUGCCGUAGCCGAGGAAGAGUCACAGUACGAUUUCAGUAACAUUUGCAUUGGAUUGUAGCAUGUGUAAUGGCCCAAGCUCCAUUCUCCAUAAUGAUAAAAACACUACAGCAGGCGAAUAUAGCACAUCAGUUCACAAGAGUGACUGAGAGAGGAAAGGAUGAGGGAGAAGUAGAGAAGCAUCAACAAUAACACAAUCUGCAGCUACAACACUUUUUCUGCCUCACAGGGGUGGCAGCUGCUCUAGC
Ictalurus punctatus (channel catfish) is the source of this 3460-nucleotide long non-coding RNA. The record is from Ensembl. Lineage: Eukaryota; Metazoa; Chordata; Actinopteri; Siluriformes; Ictaluridae.